UACGAAGGGGGCUAGCGUUGCUCGGAAUCACUGGGUUUAAAGGGUGCGUAGGCGGCUUGGUAAGUCAGGGGUGAAAGCUUCCCGCUCAACGGGAGAACUGCCCUUGAUACUGCCAGGCUCGAAUUGGGUUGAGGCAGGCGGAAUGUGGCAUGUAGCGGUGAAAUGCUUAGAUAUGCCAUAGAACACCGAUUGCGAAGGCAGCCUGCCAAGCCUUGAUUGACGCUGAGGCACGAAAGCGUGGGGAGCGAACAGG
This 253-nucleotide ribosomal RNA is filed under the name uncultured bacterium. Its description in RNAcentral is "partial 16S ribosomal RNA". It matches the Rfam family "Bacterial small subunit ribosomal RNA", at positions 524 to 776 of the family's 1533-position model. The record is from RNAcentral.